This is a long non-coding RNA of Hibiscus syriacus, 926 nucleotides long. RefSeq lists it as uncharacterized. Lineage: Eukaryota; Viridiplantae; Streptophyta; Magnoliopsida; Malvales; Malvaceae. The transcript is spliced from 10 exons. The record is from RefSeq and is a predicted model, not a curated record.
AUGCAAUAUGGGUUGUUUUUAUUAAACUACUACCACUUCUACAUGUUAGGCAAACCUAUGGUUGUAACCUUCCGUGCUUACUCGAAUGAUCAAAUCCUUUCAAUACUUCAGGGGAGGCUCCUGGUACUUCCAUAUGUUGUCUUCCAUCAGCAGGCUUUAGAACUUUGUGCCAGGAAAGUUGCAGCUGCAUCUGGGGAUAUGCGGAAAGCUCUUUCUGUUUGUAGGAGUGCGGUGGAAAUUCUUGAGGCAGAAUUAAGGGAAACUGUAAGUGAUGUCAGUUUGACAUCAGUAGAGGGGGAGUUCACCAAUCCACAGAUGUGUCCUAAUGAAGCCUUCCCUAAGAAAAUAUUACAGUGAGGAUUGACCAUAUGACUCUUGCAUUGUCAAAGACAUUCAGAUCACCUAUAGUUAACACUAUACAGUCUCUUCCGCAGCAUCAGCAAAUUAUACUUUGCUCUGCUGUGAAGUAUUUCCGUGGUGGAAAGAAGGAUACAACUGUUGGGGAGCUGAAUAAAUCUUACAUUGGUAUCUGUAAAUCUGCAUUGAUUCCACCAGUUGGAAUUUCAGAAUUUUCAAAAAAGGCGCUUGGAUGUGGAGUGUGAUUUCAUGGUUAAGAGAAUGAAACUGAAGGAUGUGCAGAAGUCACAUGCUGUUGACGCUAGUGCGUUGUCCGAGUCAACAACUAAUGAACUUUUUCAUGAAAUUUCAGUUUGUUCCAUGACUGACUUGACUUACAAACCUUGCUUUUAUACUUAUAUUCCAGUUAAAAUGCCUCAAGAUGCAUCAAGCAACACUAUUCGUGAUACAAGGGGACUUUCAGGAGAAAUUGGACGAACGCUUUUCAAAGAAGAAAGUUCAAGUUGCUUUUUUGGUGGAAAAAACAUAUGAAGUUCGUAGAAGGAAAGAUGAAUUGCGGGAUGCUUUUU